AGCGAACGCUGGCGGCAGGCUUAACACAUGCAAGUCGAGCGGGCCCUUCGGGGUCAGCGGCAGACGGGUGAGUAACACGUGGGAACGUACCCUUUGGUUCGGAAUACCGCUGGGAAACUAGCGCUAAUACCGGAUACGUCCUUGUGGCGAAAGGUUUGCUGCCGAAGGAUCGGCCCGCGUCUGAUUAGCUAGUUGGUAGGGUAAUGGCCUACCAAGGCGACGAUCAGUAGCUGGUCUGAGAGGAUGAUCAGCCACACUGGGACUGAGACACGGCCCAGACUCCUACGGGAGGCAGCAGUGGGGAAUAUUGGACAAUGGGCGGAAGCCUGAUCCAGCCAUGCCGCGUGAGUGAUGAAGGCCUUAGGGUUGUAAAGCUCUUUUGUCCGGGACGAUAAUGACGGUACCGGAAGAAUAAGCCCCGGCUAACUUCGUG
Molecule: ribosomal RNA, 433 nt
Filed under: uncultured bacterium
Lineage: Bacteria
Description: partial 16S ribosomal RNA
Rfam family: Bacterial small subunit ribosomal RNA
Source: RNAcentral